Molecule: transfer RNA, 67 nt
Filed under: Jynx ruficollis (rufous-necked wryneck)
Lineage: Eukaryota; Metazoa; Chordata; Aves; Piciformes; Picidae
Description: tRNA-Cys
Source: RNAcentral
AGUCCUGUAGUGAAGUUCAUGUUGGGUUGCAAACCCAUCGAUGUGUGCUGAGAGUACACCGGGGCUU